UGUCGGUCCCCCCGCGACGCGAAGCCGCAAACCCCGUCAGGCCCGGAAGGGAGCAGCGGUAGCGGUGGAUGCGGGCGCCGGGGUGCGGCUGGCAUGG
RNAcentral lists this signal recognition particle RNA (97 nucleotides) under Gammaproteobacteria bacterium. Its description in RNAcentral is "signal recognition particle sRNA small type". It matches the Rfam family "Bacterial small signal recognition particle RNA". Rfam says of the family: The signal recognition particle (SRP) is a universally conserved ribonucleoprotein involved in the co-translational targeting of proteins to membranes. Archaeal SRP consists of a 7S RNA and homologues of the eukaryotic SRP19 and SRP54 proteins. In most bacteria, the SRP consists of a 4.5S RNA and the Ffh protein (a homologue of the eukaryotic SRP54 protein). The record is from RNAcentral. Lineage: Bacteria; Pseudomonadati; Pseudomonadota; Gammaproteobacteria.